AACUUCUUCUGCAUCCUGGAUUUUGGUAUCGGACUCUGAAUUCUGGAGAAAGAGCUCAUGUUCAGAGAAGAGCGGUAUUCGCCGGUUGAGAGUAAACAGCAGAGUCUCUCUGUUCCCAGCAUGCCUGCUUCCUUAGGUUUCUCUGUGUGAGGACAGAGAGAAACCAACAAAGAAGAGGGUGACAAGGAAGGAGAGAAAAUGAGAAACACCUGCCACACUGCUCCACCGCUCAUGAAGCUUCUCCUCUUCAGUUCAGGGUCCUCUGCUGGCCACAGUCUGUCCCACCAGCUCAACCCACACCGUCAGGAUGCAUCACAGAGGCACCCACACUCACGUUGCAGGGGACAAGGGAGGCACGCCACUGGGCCUCACAGGCACUUCUCUGGAAUGUGGGAGGAAACAGGUGUCAACAGUUGAAACCAAAGCAAACAUGGAGAGAACUUACAACCUCUCCCUUUAGCCAAGAAUACCCAGGACUAGAAGUCUUUUAUUUUAGGUCUCAAUUUAUAUAUAAUAAAACAGCAUUAUUAAGGAGCGAUGUGCCUGCUGAACCCUUGGUAUUAUGUAGUACCUUGAAACGAGUGAGUUAUUACUGAGAUUUGGAAGCAGGA
Erinaceus europaeus (western European hedgehog) is the source of this 611-nucleotide long non-coding RNA. RefSeq lists it as uncharacterized. The transcript is spliced from 4 exons. The record is from RefSeq and is a predicted model, not a curated record. NCBI's taxonomy places the organism in Eukaryota, Metazoa, Chordata, Mammalia, Eulipotyphla, Erinaceidae.